GAUGAACGCUGGCGGCGUGCCUAAUACAUGCAAGUCGAGCGAACGGACGAGAAGCUUGCUUCUCUGAUGUUAGCGGCGGACGGGUGAGUAACACGUGGAUAACCUACCUAUAAGACUGGGAUAACUUCGGGAAACCGGAGCUAAUACCGGAUAAUAUUUUGAACCGCAUGGUUCAAAAGUAAAAGACGGUCUUGCUGUCACUUAUAGAUGGAUCCGCGCUGCAUUAGCUAGUUGGUAAGGUAACGGCUUACCAAGGCAACGAUGCAUAGCCGACCUGAGAGGGUGAUCGGCCACACUGGAACUGAGACACGGUCCAGACUCCUACGGGAGGCAGCAGCAGGGAAUCUUCCGCAAUGGGCGAAAGCCUGACGGAGCAACGCCGCGUGAGUGAUGAAGGUCUUCGGAUCGUAAAACUCUGUUAUUAGGGAAGAACAUAUGUGUAAGUAACUGUGCACAUCUUGACGGUACCUAAUCAGAAAGCCACGGCUAACUACGUG
RNAcentral lists this ribosomal RNA (497 nucleotides) under uncultured bacterium. Its description in RNAcentral is "partial 16S ribosomal RNA". It matches the Rfam family "Bacterial small subunit ribosomal RNA", at positions 28 to 507 of the family's 1533-position model. The record is from RNAcentral.